CUGGGUCUGUUUACAUAACAUGUAGCCAGCUGUAGUGGGGAGAUCUUAUAAAAACCUAAACCUGCUGCUCCCCAUCACCCUCAGGACGGUUUUCCCCAUGGCUCUGAGGUCCCCCAGACAGGUCCUGCCUCUCUGAUCACCUGUGCUCCAGCCACACCAAGUCUCUGGCCCUAGAUCACCCUAGCUCCUCCCGCUCACCUCCACUUGGAAAGAAAUCACAGUUGCACACACCCCGCCCUCCUCCUCUCCUUUGGUAAUUGCCCAGUUCUGUCCCCAGAUAAGGGGAGUGUGUGGGGACAACCUUCAUGUCCCCAGCACCUUCUCUCCAAUGCAGACGGUGGACUGAGGGAAGGCCGAGGGAGACAUCUGGCAGGAUAUAAAGAUGCUUCAUGAGGAUGUGUGUCCCCAGCCCUGCGCACAGGCCCUGGUACCAGUGAGUGCUGGGCAAAUAGGAGCUUCGCUCAGGACUGAACGUACCGCCUGAGGGACAACGGCACAAGGAGGAGAGAGGUAGAGAUGUAUGUCCGGGGGAUGCCGCCACUUACUCUUUCUGUGUCCCAGCAUCUCUGUGGAGGACAGCGAGAGAGGACAGCAUCACCCUCAGCGCCCUACCUGAAAGGUACACGCCUCGUUCCCCAAGGGCAUCUGGGGCCCAAAGGCCAGGCAGGCCUGGGCUCGAAGGCCUCCCUGGGCACCCCCACCCUGGCCGCUGGGCAGACACAGGCUCACAUGGAGGCCCGGAUGGAGGAGGCUGCACAAGGGCUCCCCAGGCAUGCAGGGGGCAACUGCUGGUUUGUGGUGAAAGGCUGGAGGAUGCGGAGCAGGGGGAUACGCCCCUGGGGGCUGGGGCACCAGCUGCUUGCCUGACCCCAGGAGCCCCUCCUGGAAACCAACGUGAUUGAAAAACUCACCCAAGGGCAGAGAAUCUGGAAGGGAGAGAAAGGGAAGAGAAUCAAAACCCAGGAAGUUUUUGGCCCUCAGAAGCCUCCGCAGACCCGCAGCCUCCCCCUUUGCAGCGCCCCUACCCUCGGGGGGCUUGUCAAUGAUGGGCUCCAGGCCAUCCUCGUCCGUCAUGCCUCUGAUGGUCAUGGAGGUCAGUGGGGUCACAAACUGGUAGGCCAGCGACAUCUGCAGGGCCUUGGCCGUCGCGGUGGCCUUCUCCUUCCCCUCCAACUUCAUCCUACAAGACACACACCGGCUCCAAGCCCCACGGCCUGGAUGACAACGGACUUGAACUCCCCGGCCCUUUUGCUCAUUUGGUCACUCACUCACUCAUUCAGCAAACACGAAUCAGGCACCUGCAGUGCCCCUGUUCCGUGGCCGCCUUCAAGGGCCUCGUGAUUUAAAGCCCUCCCACCUGGAAAACCUGGCGAUUCAGCAGGGUUGGGGGACGCGCCUCAGAAAUACGCAGAGAAUUUAACAGCGGGGAGAUUCUGGGGAGCGGUCUAACUUCUCUGAGCCUCCGCUCGCUCCUCUGCGAAAUGGGAAUAAUGAGGAAAUUCCCCGGCAGCCCGUGAGGAUUGCCCAAGCGUGUCUGGACGCGGCGGCCCCCUCAGUAAAGGGCAGCCUCUCCCUGCCCGGCAGCUCAGCGGAGGCAAACCGGGUCCCGCCCACGCUGUCGACUGGUCGGUACGAACUCAGUGAGCGAAGCCCAACGCCAGUCAGCCUGACCCGCUCCCAACCUCGAAGGCCCAGAAGCACCCCUUCUCCGUUCACCUCACUGUUCCAGAGGCCCUGGCGUCCACCCCCGCCGCAGGGGUCGUACCGCUUGGCCAGCAGCUCCUGGAUGGUGAGGUAGGCCCAGAGCCGUUCAACGUGGUUCUCCAGCACGUGGCCCCGCUCCUGGAGCAGCUUCUUCAUCUCCUCUUCAUCCACCAGGCAGGUCGCCUUGAAUUCUCGGCCCUCCUGAGGGUGGUCACGGGGAGAGGGGCCGGGCGCCGCGAAGGGCACGACCGCUGGCUGGUGGCGGAGGGCCCGGGACCCCCCCCCCCUCCCCCCACAUCCGGGCUCUGCGAUUCUUUCUCAGCACUGCCCUUCCCCGAGCUGCGGUCCUAACGCUCACUCAUCCCUUCAUCCCGCACACGCUUGCUGAGCACCGUCAGUGAGCCAGGGGGGCCUCGGCCCUGGGGACCCCAGGAAUGGGAGGACCAGACCCUGGCCUCCUGAAGUUACUCUCUCUGGGACGUGCCAGCAAGCAUCCAGCUACUUCCACCAUCUAGCCGUUUCCACCGUGUCCCCUCCUUCAAAUGCCCACCGCGGCCCCACCUGCAAAUGCUGUUCUGUCCCCAGCUACCAUAGUGGGACUUCACUUCCUGAGGGAAUCCCGUGCCCCAGGCACCGCGCAAGCAUAUUACAUAGAUUAUUUCACUUAAUCCACACAACUCUCCAAGGCAGUAUCACCCCACGGUACAGAAAAAGAAACUGAGGCCUGGAGAGCUGGACCCAUUUGCUCAAGGUCACCCAGCCGGUCAGGGCGGAGCCAGGGUCCGGCGCAGCUUUCCUCACCCAAAGACCCCGUUCUGAACGCUUGACCACACAGCAGGGCUUGAAGCCACCCCCAGCAGGACAGGGUCCAUGUCUCACACACCUGUGACCCCCACAGCAUGCACACGCACACAUGCACUUGCACCGUGGCGCCAAUCUGGGUGUUCAGGAAAAGACUGUCAAGUGAAACGGAAGAGGCUGGCCUCUUGCUCUCUCAAGCCUUUGCGGAGAACGAUGUAAGGAAUAACAGGCGAUCCGUUUUGGGCCAAGGGACUACAAAUAAUCAAGGCUAUGUCGGUUCCAUCCCAGCCCAUCCCCUGGAUGCCUGCGUGGAGGAAUGUUCUGGCCUGGGAGGCCUGGAGCUUGGACCCCUAACUACAACAACAUCUGGGAUUUCCUCAUGUGCCCUGUGCUUCCCUGAAUGCUUUACCCAUGCAUGCGACACGGGCAAAGAGGAAACCGAGGCUCAAGCAAGUCAGCAGCUCACCCCAGACCAUGCAACCAGGGGCUUGCCCCUGCUGAGGGGACGCCUUCCCCAGCCUCAGCAUCAGGAUUUGGCUAAGUCGCUCUGAGAACCAGGAGUGCCGAGUUCUCUGGGAUAUCAACCACACAACACCUACCUUCCUCACCCCUAGGGUGGCUUGCAGCCCCUGCCUGGUUCUCGGGCCAAGCCUGGACACUUCGUGAGGGGUUGGACCAGGCUGAGAAGUCCCGGGGGCCCACCACCACCCCCAGCCAGCCCACACACCUUUUUUCCCGAGAAGGAUUUCUUGAUAAGUUGGCUUGCCAGUUCCUUGGGGAGGAAGGACGCCUGGGCAUCCAGCUUGCUGAUCCCCUGGGGCUCAAAGAUGUCCACGUCGAUCUGCAUCAUUGAAGCAGCCAGGCUCCCAUUCGGGCCACCAUCAAGUCUCAGCCAAGAGCCAACCCGUGUCCUGGCCACCUACUGUGUGCCACACCCACCCAGCCCUCAGCACAGGGCCUGGCAUGUUUACGCACUCCAGAAAUAUUGGCCAAAUGAAGGUGUGCAUGCCUGGGUCCCUCAACUCGCCCGCCACUGAGGUGCCAGUGACAGUCACAGCCCCUCGGUCUUCCCGGGACUUCCUAGCCUACCGACUACGUGGAUAUUUAAUAUCUGUCGUGAUCCUUGUGGCAACUCUGGGACACACAGGAAGCCCCAUUUAACAGAUGAGCAAACUGAGGCUCAGAGAGGAAGAGGAGACUGGAGGGUUCAGGUAGCUCCCUGCCCAUGAAGAACCGACUAGAACCCGCCCAAGGAGUCAGUCCCUUUCCUGUGUGCUCAGGCCUGGCAUGGCACACGGUGGGCCCGGAGCCAGUCCUCAGAGCCAUGGCGACAGAGAGUCGGGAGCCCUGCCCCAGAUAUGGCUCCCCUGCAUACAGCCACCCGCAAUCUACC
Felis catus (domestic cat) is the source of this 3898-nucleotide long non-coding RNA. RefSeq lists it as uncharacterized. The record is from RefSeq and is a predicted model, not a curated record. The transcript has 3 exons. Lineage: Eukaryota; Metazoa; Chordata; Mammalia; Carnivora; Felidae.